RNAcentral lists this ribosomal RNA (252 nucleotides) under uncultured bacterium. RNAcentral describes it as "partial 16S ribosomal RNA". It matches the Rfam family "Bacterial small subunit ribosomal RNA", at positions 524 to 776 of the family's 1533-position model. The record is from RNAcentral.
UACAGAGGUCCCAAGCGUUGUUCGGAUUACUGGGCGUAAAGCGUGCGCAGGCGGCUUUGCAAGACAGAUGUGAAAUCCCCGGGCUUAACCUGGGAACUGCAUUUGUGACUGCAUGGCUGGAGUGCGGCAGAGGGGGAUGGAAUUCCGCGUGUAGCAGUGAAAUGCGUAGAUAUGCGGAGGAACACCGAUGGCGAAGGCAAUCCCCUGGGCCUGCACUGACGCUCACGCACGAAAGCGUGGGGAGCAAACAGG